AUAUAGUUUUUUUUCCUGUCAAGACAAAAGAAGGACAAAUGGUUUUGUUUGCUUCUUGAAUGCACAUGAACAUGUUAUGGAAGGUAAAGAGAAAAAUGUUAAAAAAAAUUGAAGGAUCAUAGGUUGAAGUUCCUAUGAGAAAAGGGUAAAAGUAUGAGAAAAAAGAGUACAUCAAAUGAAAGAGUGAACAUAUUUAUAAGAGUUUGGGGGUUGUAUC
RNAcentral lists this long non-coding RNA (217 nucleotides) under Nicotiana benthamiana. Its description in RNAcentral is "long non-coding RNA (NBEN_LNC028407)". The record is from RNAcentral. Lineage: Eukaryota; Viridiplantae; Streptophyta; Magnoliopsida; Solanales; Solanaceae.